RNAcentral lists this ribosomal RNA (781 nucleotides) under uncultured bacterium. RNAcentral describes it as "bacterial SSU rRNA". It matches the Rfam family "Bacterial small subunit ribosomal RNA", at positions 60 to 848 of the family's 1533-position model. The record is from RNAcentral.
AGUCGAACGGACUUAACUCAUUCUUUUAGAUUGAGAGCGGUUAGUGGCGGACUGGUGAGUAACACGUAAGCAACCUGCCUAUCAGAGGGGAAUAACAGUGAGAAAUCAUUGCUAAUACCGCAUAUGCUUACACUAUUGCAUGAUAGAGUAAGGAAAGGAGCAAUCCGCUAAUAGAUGGGCUCGCGUCUGAUUAGCUAGUUGGUGGGGUAGAAGCCUACCAAGGCGACGAUCAGUAGCCGGACUGAGAGGUUGAACGGCCACAUUGGGACUGAGAUACGGCCCAGACUCCUACGGGAGGCAGCAGUCGGGAAUAUUGCGCAAUGGAGGAAACUCUGACGCAGUGACGCCGCGUAUAGGAAGAAGGUUUUCGGAUUGUAAACUAUUGUCGUUAGGGAAGAAAAAAGACAGUACCUAAGGAGGAAGCCCCGGCUAACUAUGUGCCAGCAGCCGCGGUAAUACAUAGGGGGCAAGCGUUAUCCGGAAUUAUUGGGUGUAAAGGGUGCGUAGACGGGUGUUUAAGUUGGUUGUGAAAUCCCUCGGCUCAACUGAGGAACUGCAACCAAAACUGGAUAUCUUGAGUGUCGGAGAGGAAAGUGGAAUUCCUAGUGUAGCGGUGAAAUGCGUAGAUAUUAGGAGGAACACCAGUGGCGAAGGCGACUUUCUGGACGAUAACUGACGUUGAGGCACGAAAGUGUGGGGAGCAAACAGGAUUAGAUACCCUGGUAGUCCACACUGUAAACGAUGGAUACUAGGUGUAGGGUGUAUUAAACAUUCUGUGCCG